This 1444-nucleotide ribosomal RNA is filed under the name uncultured Bacteroidota bacterium. RNAcentral describes it as "bacterial SSU rRNA". It matches the Rfam family "Bacterial small subunit ribosomal RNA". Lineage: Bacteria; Pseudomonadati; Bacteroidota. The record is from RNAcentral.
GAUGAACGCUAGCGGCAGGCUUAACACAUGCAAGUCGAGGGGCAGCAACACUUUCGGGUGGUUGGCGACCGGCGCACGGGUGCGUAACGCGUGAGUAACAUACCUAUAUCAGAGGGAUAAUCCGGGGAAACUUGGUCUAAUACCUCAUGGUUUUGGGAGGUGGCAUCAUCUUCCACAUAAAAUUUCGAUGGAUAUAGAUUGGCUCGCGUAACAUUAGCUAGAUGGUAUAGUAAUGGUUUACCAUGGCGACGAUGUUUAGGGGUUCUGAGAGGAAGGUCCCCCACACUGGAACUGAGACACGGUCCAGACUCCUACGGGAGGCAGCAGUGAGGAAUAUUGGUCAAUGGUCGGAAGACUGAACCAGCCAUGCCGCGUGCAGGAAGACGGUUCUAUGGAUUGUAAACUGCUUUUGUAUGGGAGCAAUAAUGUGUAUGUAUACACAGAUGAGAGUACCAUACGAAUAAGCACCGGCUAACUCCGUGCCAGCAGCCGCGGUAAUACGGAGGGUGCAAGCGUUAUCCGGAAUUAUUGGGUUUAAAGGGUGCGUAGGCUGUAUUAUAAGUCAGUGGUAAAAUGUUCCGGCUUAACCGGAGAUGUGCCAUUGAUACUGUAAUGCUGGAAUACGGAUGCUGUGGGAGGAAUGUGUAGUGUAGCGGUGAAAUGCAUAGAUAUUACACAGAACACCGAUUGCGAAGGCAUCUCACAAAGCCGUUAUUGACGCUGAUGCACGAAAGCGUGGGGAUCAAACAGGAUUAGAUACCCUGGUAGUCCACGCAGUAAACGAUGAUAACUAGUUGUUGGCGAUAUACCGUCAGUGACCAAGCGAAAGCGAUAAGUUAUCCACCUGGGGAGUACGUUCGCAAGAGUGAAACUCAAAGGAAUUGACGGGGGCCCGCACAAGCGGAGGAACAUGUGGUUUAAUUCGAUGAUACGCGAGGAACCUUACCCGGGCUCGAACGGUGCAGGAAUUACGCAGAGAUGCGUAAGCUAGCAAUAGUCUGUAUCGAGGUGCUGCAUGGUUGUCGUCAGCUCGUGCCGUGAGGUGUCGGCUUAAGUGCCAUAACGAGCGCAACCCUUGUCGUUAGUUGCCAUCAGGUUAAGCUGGGGACUCUGACGAGACUGCCACCGUAAGGUGUGAGGAAGGGGGGGAUGACGUCAAAUCAGCACGGCCCUUACGUCCGGGGCGACACACGUGUUACAAUGGGGGGUACAGAGGGCAGCUACCAGGUGACUGGAUGCGAAUCUCUAAAACCCUUCUCAGUUCGGAUCGAAGUCUGCAACUCGACUUCGUGAAGUUGGAUUCGCUAGUAAUCGCGCAUCAGCCAUGGCGCGGUGAAUACGUUCCCGGGCCUUGUACACACCGCCCGUCAAGCCAUGGAAGCUGGGGGUGCCUGAAGUCCGAGACCGCGAGGAUCGGCCUAAGGCAAAACUAGUAACUGGGGCU